Molecule: small nucleolar RNA, 91 nt
Organism: Corylus avellana
Lineage: Eukaryota; Viridiplantae; Streptophyta; Magnoliopsida; Fagales; Betulaceae
Product: small nucleolar RNA snoR114
Source: RefSeq, a predicted model, not a curated record
GAGCUGUGAAGAACUUUGCGUUGGAUGUGAUGAUUAGGGUCUAUCACCCACUGGUCUGACUCUUUAGACGAAAUAUAAUGCAUCUGAGCUC